This 253-nucleotide ribosomal RNA is filed under the name uncultured bacterium. Its description in RNAcentral is "partial 16S ribosomal RNA". It matches the Rfam family "Bacterial small subunit ribosomal RNA", at positions 524 to 776 of the family's 1533-position model. The record is from RNAcentral.
UACGUAGGGGGCAAGCGUUGUCCGGAUUCAUUGGGCGUAAAGAGCGUGUAGGCGGCCAGGUAGGUCGGUUGUGAAAACUGGAGGCUCAACCUUCAGAGGUCGACCGAAACCAUCUGGCUAGAGUCCGGGAGAGGAGAGUGGAAUUCCUGGUGUAGCGGUGAAAUGCGCAGAUAUCAGGAAGAACACCCGUGGCGAAAGCGGCGCGCUGGACCACUACUGACGCUGAGGAACGAAAGCUAGGGGAGCAAACAGG